UACGGAGGGGGCUAGCGUUGUUCGGAAUUACUGGGCGUAAAGCGCACGUAGGCGGAUCUGAAAGUCGGGGGUGAAAUCCCGGGGCUCAACCUCGGAACUGCCUUCAAAACUGCAGGUCUUGAGUUCGGGAGAGGUGAGUGGAAUUCCGAGUGUAGAGGUGAAAUUCGUAGAUAUUCGGAAGAACACCAGUGGCGAAGGCGGCUCACUGGCUCGAUACUGACGCUGAGGUGCGAAAGCGUGGGGAGCAAACAGG
Molecule: ribosomal RNA, 253 nt
Filed under: uncultured bacterium
Lineage: Bacteria
Description: partial 16S ribosomal RNA
Rfam family: Bacterial small subunit ribosomal RNA
Source: RNAcentral